RNAcentral lists this ribosomal RNA (460 nucleotides) under uncultured bacterium. Its description in RNAcentral is "partial 16S ribosomal RNA". It matches the Rfam family "Bacterial small subunit ribosomal RNA", at positions 338 to 795 of the family's 1533-position model. The record is from RNAcentral.
CCUACGCGGGGCAGCAGUGAGGAAUAUUGGUCAAUGGGCGCGAGCCUGAACCAGCCAAGUCGCGUGAGGGAUGACGGUCCUACGGAUUGUAAACCUCUUUUGCCGGGGAGCAAGCGUGCGUUCGUGAACGCGCGUCGAGAGUACCCGGAGAAAAAGCAUCGGCUAACUCCGUGCCAGCAGCCGCGGUAAUACGGAGGAUGCGAGCGUUAUCCGGAUUUAUUGGGUUUAAAGGGUGCGUAGGCGGGAUGCCAAGUCAGCGGUAAAAGUGCGGUGCUCAACGCCGUCGAGCCGUUGAAACUGGCGUUCUGGAGUGGGCGAGAAGUAUGCGGAAUGCGUGGUGUAGCGGUGAAAUGCAUAGAUAUCACGCAGAACUCCGAUUGCGAAGGCAGCAUACCGGCGCCCUACUGACGCUGAGGCACGAAAGCGUGGGUAUCGAACAGGAUUAGAUACCCCGGUAGUC